This 425-nucleotide ribosomal RNA is filed under the name uncultured bacterium. RNAcentral describes it as "partial 16S ribosomal RNA". It matches the Rfam family "Bacterial small subunit ribosomal RNA", at positions 354 to 796 of the family's 1533-position model. The record is from RNAcentral.
GUGGGGAAUCUUGCGCAAUGGGCGAAAGCCUGACGCAGCCAUGCCGCGUGAAUGAUGAAGGUCUUAGGAUUGUAAAAUUCUUUCACCGGGGACGAUAAUGACGGUACCCGGAGAAGAAGCCCCGGCUAACUUCGUGCCAGCAGCCGCGGUAAUACGAAGGGGGCUAGCGUUGCUCGGAAUUACUGGGCGUAAAGGGCGCGUAGGCGGACAGUUUAGUCAGAGGUGAAAGCCCAGGGCUCAACCUUGGAAUUGCCUUUGAUACGGGCUGUCUUGAGUACGGGAGAGGUGAGUGGAACUCCGAGUGUAGAGGUGAAAUUCGUAGAUAUUCGGAAGAACACCAGUGGCGAAGGCGACUCACUGGCCCGUUACUGACGCUGAGGCGCGAAAGCGUGGGGAGCAAACAGGAUUAGAUACCCUGGUAGUCC